This 463-nucleotide ribosomal RNA is filed under the name Vreelandella stevensii. Its description in RNAcentral is "partial 16S ribosomal RNA". It matches the Rfam family "Bacterial small subunit ribosomal RNA", at positions 338 to 795 of the family's 1533-position model. Lineage: Bacteria; Pseudomonadati; Pseudomonadota; Gammaproteobacteria; Oceanospirillales; Halomonadaceae. The record is from RNAcentral.
CCUACGGCGGCUGCAGUGGGGAAUAUUGGACAAUGGGCGAAAGCCUGAUCCAGCCAUGCCGCGUGUGUGAAGAAGGCCUUCGGGUUGUAAAGCACUUUCAGUGGGGAAGAAAGCCUUGGGGCUAAUACCCUCGAGGAAGGACAUCACCCACAGAAGAAGCACCGGCUAACUCCGUGCCAGCAGCCGCGGUAAUACGGAGGGUGCGAGCGUUAAUCGGAAUUACUGGGCGUAAAGCGCGCGUAGGCGGUCUGAUAAGCCGGUUGUGAAAGCCCCGGGCUCAACCUGGGAACGGCAUCCGGAACUGUCAGGCUAGAGUGCAGGAGAGGAAGGUAGAAUUCCCGGUGUAGCGGUGAAAUGCGUAGAGAUCGGGAGGAAUACCAGUGGCGAAGGCGGCCUUCUGGACUGACACUGACGCUGAGGUGCGAAAGCGUGGGUAGCAAACAGGAUUAGAUACCGUGUAGUC